Molecule: long non-coding RNA, 14106 nt
Filed under: Lynx pardinus (Iberian lynx)
Lineage: Eukaryota; Metazoa; Chordata; Mammalia; Carnivora; Felidae
Source: RNAcentral
AACGGAGCAACCCAGGAGCCCCAGAUCCUCCUUUUAUAUCCCAGAUUUUCCCCUUUCUUGGUUCACUUGGUUGUCUUGGUGGAGCACACAUUCAGUAGCCUCUUGGAUCCAUGGGAGGUAAGUUUUUACACCUUGAAUCUCUGAAAAUGUCUUUUUUUUUUUAAUGUUUAUUUUUGAGAGAGAGAGAGACACACACACCGAGCAUGAGCAGGGAGGGGCAGAGAGAGAGGGAGACACAGAAUCCGAAGCAGUCUCCAGGCUCCGAGCUGUCAGCACAGAGGCUGAUGCAGGGCUAAAACACAAGAGCUGUGACAUCAUGACCUGAGCCAAAGUCGGACACUUAACCGACUGACCUACCCAGGGGCCCCUGAAAAUGUCAUUUUUUAACUCUAACAAUUUAUUAAUAGUUUAUCUGAUAUGGGAUUCUAGGAUGGAAAUCAUUUCCUUUUAGAACUUUGAAGGCAUUGCUUCUGUGUGCUGUGGCUUCCUUUGCUGCUGUUGAGAAUCUAAAACCAGACUGACUCUUGAUCCUUCAUUUGUGAUUUUUUUCUCUUUGGAAGAUUAUAAAAUCUUAACUUUGUUCCAGGAAUUCUGAAAUUUCGUAAUCAUGUAUCUUGGACUGAGUCUAUUUUCGUCCAUUAUAUUGGAAACUUAGUGGGCCCUUUCCUCUGCCUCUUCCUGCUAGAAGUAAAUUACUUUCAAUUUUGGGAUAUCUUGAAUUUUCUCCUCCACUUUUUAUGUUCCUUCUUUUUGGAACUCCUAUUAUUUGGUUGCUGAACUUUGAGUUAUUCUCUAAUUAAAAAAAAAAAAAAAUCUUUUUCUGGGGCACCUGACUGGCUCAGUCAGGGGAGCAUGCAACUCCUGAUCUUGGGGUUGUAAGUUUGAGCCCCACAUUCGGUGUAGAGAUUACUUAAAAAAAUAAAAUCUUUGAGGUGCCUGGGUGGCUCAGUCAGUUAAGUGCCUGACUCUUGAUUUUGGCUCAGGUCAGAAUCUCACAGUUUGUGAGUUCGAGGCCCACAACGGGCUCUGCUCCUGACGGGGAGGAGCCUACUUGGAAUUCUCUCUCUCCCUCUCUCACUGCCCCUCCCCAGCUCUCUCUCUCUCAAAAUAAAUAAAUAAACAUUUAAAAAUUUAAAAAAAUAAAAUCUUUAAACAUAUAUUUUUUUAUUUCCCUUCUUACACCUUUCCCAUGUUUACUCCCUUUUCUGGGAGAUUUCUUCAACAUUAUCUUUCAAUCCUUCCAUUAUAUUUUCAUUUCAUCGAUUAUAUCUCUUCCCCCCCCCCCCGCCCCCAAGGGCUCUUUUUUUGUUCUCUGAAUUUUUAAAAGCAGGAUGAUUAAAGUAUCUCUCUGAGGUUCCAUGGAACCAAGUAGAAUAAUGAUAGAAGACCCUGAAGUGGAGGAUGUAUGGUAACAACCAGAAGGUUCUUGUUCCAUUUUCUGAGUUAGUCAAAUCUGCCUUCUUCAAGGUAAUGGGCAGUCUGUUUCCCAGCGUGGAGCUCGCCAGCCUGCCUGCUUCUACCUGGCUCCUGUUUGCCACCUUGGGAUAGAAUGCUAUUUCGUCAGUGUGUGCAAUGAUUCCACUGGGGACAGAUGAAGGAGCAUAGAACAUUCACCAACAUAGAUCAUGUGGUGGGCUACAAGUCUCAAUAAUUAUAAAAGAAUUGAAAUCACACUGAAUAUAUUCCUCUGUGUGACCACAGUGGAAUUAAAGUAGUAAUAAAUACUGGAAAGAUAUCUGGAAAACCCCCAAAUUUGGGAGGAAAUUAAUCUGCUUCUAAAUAGUCCAAAAGUCAAAGGAGAAAUUGCAACGGAAAUUAUAAAAUAUUUUGAGCUGAAUAAAAAGGAAAAUAUGACAUGUAAAAAUUUGUGAGUUACAGCAAAAGCACUGGGAAAUUUAGACACUUAAAUGCUUAUAUAAUAAAAGAAGAAAGAUGUAAAAUCAAUUAUCUAAGUGACAGAAAAAAAAGAAAAGCAAACUAAAUACAAAAUAAGCAGAAGAAAUAAAGUAAUCAAAAUGAGAAUGAAAAGCAACUAAAUAGAAAAAAAUAGAGAAAAUGAACACAGUCAAAAGUUGGUUCUUUGAAAAGAUUAAUAAGAUCAAUAAACUACUGAUAAAGUUGAUUAAGAAGAAAAGAAAAUCAUGAAGAAUAAAAAAGGUACAUCACUGUCAAUUUUAGAUAAAACAAAACAAAACAAAAAACCUGAGAAGGAAGAUAUUAUGGAUAGUCUUAUGCCAAGAGAACCAAUAACAGAUGAAGUGAUUAAAUACUAUUUAUUGAAAAAGCUAUUUUUUGUUCUGGGCCAGCUUGAAAUAUCAUCUUUAUUGUACACUAAUUUAUAUGUUGGCAUGCAGGUGUGGGUUUGGAUGCUUUUACCAUCUAUAUCACAUUCUACUACUAUAUUUGCUCUAAAAGCUAGUAUUACAGUCAACCAGUGGGAAGUUGUAUCAGCUUUUCUGACCCAGCCUCAGAAGUCACAAGGGGCCAUUUCUGCUGCAUUUGAUUGGUUACAAGCAAAUGAUAAGUCCACUUGGAAUCCAGGAGAGGAUACAUAGACUCCAUCUCUCAGUGGGAGGAGUACCAAAGACUUUGUGGCUAUUAAAAAAAAAAAAAGUACAUGCUGUCUUUAGUGAUAAUGCUUCUAAUGUUUUUGUUAAGUGUAACAAUAUUAUACAAUAUAACAAUAGAAUAAAUAAUAUUUCUACAGGUUUUGGACAAAUAUCCUUUCUAAAUUUGAGGACCUUUCAGAUUAGGUCAUGGAGAAAUAGAAUCAGCAGUUGUCAUUUGUUUUUCUCAUAGACAAGUAGUAUAAUUCGUGGAGAAUAAGUUUAGUGUUGUUUGUUUUUGAAGUAUAACUGACACACAAUGUUAUAUUAGUUUCGGGUACACAACAGUGAUUUGACAAUACUGUACAUGACUCAUUGUUCACUGUAAUUAGUAUAGUCCCCAUCUGUCACCAUACAACAUUAUUACCAUAUUAUUGAUUGUAUUCUCUAUGCUGUACUUUUCGUCUCAAUGACCUAAUUUAUUUUACAACUGGAAGUUUGUACCUCUUCAUCCUCUUUAUUUUACCCACCACUUCAUCCAUCUCCACUCUGGCAACUACCUACCAGUUUGUCCUCUGUAUUUAAGAGUCUGUUUUUUGUUUGUUCAUUUGUUUUUGUUUUUUAAGAUUCUACAUAUGAGUGAAAUCACAUGGUAUUUGUCUUUCUCUGUCUGACGUAUUUCACUUAGCCAAAUAUUCUCUAGAUCCAUCCAGGCUGUCUUAAACGGCAAGAUCUCAUUUUCUUUUAUGGCUGAGUAGUAUUCAUGAAGAAUUGUAUUUAAGGGUAAAUUUAUAUUGCCAGAUUUGUGAAAUCUGGCUACACAGAUGAAAUUUACUACACAAUACAAACUACUAUUUAGAUUCUAAACUUUGGGCAUUAAAUCUUCGGAAUAUUUUACGACGUAAGUGGGACAGUAUUCUUUAUGAAUUGUAAUUUGACUGAUAGUACUUGGCAAUAUCCAGCACAUACCUCAAAGAGAUUCAGAGAAAAAGAAUGUUUUUUUUAAAUGUGAAAAUUUUCUUAUGUAAACUAUACAUUCAUUUUUCACGCACAGGAGCAUGAAUAGGGAACAUAGAUAAUGGUGGACUAAAUAACACAUUUAAUUUCUCUGAAGCUUCAAAUCCCACUAUAGAAUCCUGCUGAGCUAGAUUAAAUUAGACCACACAGUGAGCUCUUUGAGCAAAGUUAAGUGGCCUCGUUCCUAAGCCCACAUUUAUCACUUCAGUUACAAGGAAGCGGUGAUCCGGAGCAUUUAGACCGAAGAGGAAAAUGGACAAGAACCAGAAUAUAUAUAUAUGCCCCAAUGUCUAAGCUGAUUUAGACCAUUUGCGGGAGAACUUUCUAGAAUAUGGAGUGGUACAGCCUCCCCUGGGUCAGUUUUACCUAGCUGCACAGGUAGUGAUAAGGGGAUUAGUGGCUACUCUAGAGGGAAGGCAGAGAACCCCUUCAAAGAAUGGGUAUUUACACAAUCUAGGAUUAUUUGUAUACUUUUGUCCUCUAAAAAGUACAGCCCACAUGGUGUUCUUGAGCUUGGUAUAGACCCAUGCUUGGGAAAGAUGUGGAGGCUGGGGAAAGUGAGGAGGUGAGGAGAAACCUGGAGUGUAAAGGAGCUUGGAUUUCCAUUGGCAUCUCUUUUUUUCCCCAGAGAGAUACUGGCACAGUCACAGGAUUAAGUUAACGUUCCCAUCUCAGUUAACCCAUUAGGUGGGAAUAAUACAUUUACACACCAAUGUGUGAGCUUAUCCUCGCAAACCUUCCAUCCAAAAAAGGUGGGGGGUGGGGGAAAGAAAGAGAAAAGGAUACUAAGGGUUUUCUAAUGUACUCUCAAACGUUAAAAAAAACUUUUCUUCCUUUUAAUUGCUUUUCCCAGUUAUAUGUGAAAUGGGUAUUUCAGUUUGCAGUGGUAGGAAAAGAAUAAUGGAACCAAAGAAAAGGAGAGACAUUUUAAAACUGCAUCAGCAUAUGGCCUGUCCCCAAUCAUUUGUAACAAGUGUUAGAAGAAGCAGAAAUACCAGAUUUCCAUUUAGCCACCUGCUGGAUCUAUUGCCUUAAAAAAAAACUUUUUUUUAAUGUUUAUUUAUUUUUGAGACAAUGCGAGAGACAGAGCAUAAGUAGGGGAGGGGCAGAGAGAGAGGGAGACACAGAAUCCCAAGCAGGCUCCAGGCUCUGAGCUGUCAGCACAGAGCCUGAUGUGGGCCCGAACUCACGAACUGUGAGAUCGUGACCUGAGCCAAAGUUGGCCGCUUAACCAACUGAGCCACUCAGGCACCCUGGACCUAUUGCCUUUUAAACAAUUUUAGAGAUUAUUCCUGUUUUGCCAAAUGCAGGAAGAGGGCUGGGAAAUAUCUGCCUGGCAUGUUAAGCUUACGUAUCGUUAAAACUCUAGGAAAUGUUGAACCUUAUAUAAAUUCUGACUCUCCUUCAUAUGGCUGUUAUAUCCAUAUUUGAACAGGCAUUAUAUAUGGCAUUGGCACGAUUGGGAAAUCUGCCUUCUAAUAUGCCUGAGAUGGCUGGCUCACUGAUUAACUUCUGAGUGCACUGAGCUAAACCCCACUAAUUGCUGAGUUUGUUUCCUCGUUUGUGAAGCACUGAAGUGACCCUCUUGUGAAUGUGGCUGGGCCACAUUUUAAAAGUUGGCCCUCCCUGUAGCAGGUUUGGAAAUACUGCAAUAAUUUUAGAAUUGGAUGAAGAAAUGUAUCUUGAAAUAAAAAAAUCCUAUAUAAUUUGAGGGAGGUAUGAAUUUCCUAUCAGGCAGGAUCAAAUCUAGGUUGGUGAGUAAAUAAACUAGAAGCAAACAAAGUGAAAGGGAAGAAGACAUUUAACAGACUACAGGUUUGGGCCCAUGCCACACGGUGGCAGGCUUACUCUGUGUUGUGCUCCCUCUUCAGGGCCAAAAACAUCAAAGGUGGAGAGAGGAGGGAGUAGAGACAAACUUCUGGGAAACAAAUCUUAACGCUUGAAUUUAACUACCUUAAACCACGCACUUCAGGAAGUUAAUUUUAUAAAGUAUGACAUGUUAUUAGUUUGUCAAGACUAUAUGUUCAUAUUAAAAUGUUUUAGGAGCACGUGGGUGGCUCAGUCGGUUGAAUGUCCAGCUUCGGCUCAUUCGGCUCAGGUCAUGAUCUCACGGUUUUUAGGUUGAAACCCCGCAUGAGGCUUGGCUUGCUGCUGUCAGGGCAGAGCACCCUUGGGAUCUUCUGUCCUCCUUCUCUCUGCCCCUCUCCCACUUGCAUGUGUGUUCUCUCUCUCGCUCUCUCUCAAAAAUAAAUAAACAUAGGGGCGCCUGGGUGGCGCAGUCGGUUAAGCGUCCGACUUCAGCCAGGUCACGAUCUCGCGGUCCGUGAGUUCGAGCCCCGCGUCAGGCUCUGGGCUGAUGGCUCGGAGCCUGGAGCCUGUUUCCGAUUCUGUGUCUCCCUCUCUCUCUGCCCCUCCCCCGUUCAUGCUCUGUCUCUCUCUGUCCCAAAAAUAAAUAAACGUUGAAAAAAAAAUUUUUUUUUAAAUAAAUAAACAUUAAAAAAAAAAUGUUUUUGGGGCACCUGGAUGGCUCAGUCGGUUAAGCGUCCGACUUCGGCUCAGGUCAUGAUCUCACACCCUGCAUCAGGCUCUGUGCUGACAGCUCGGAGCCUGGAGCCUGCUUCGGAUUCUGUGUCUCCCUCUCUCUCUGCCCCUCCCCUGCUCAUGCUCUGUCUCUGUCUCAAAAAUAAAUACAUUUUUUUUAAUUAAAAAAAAAAUGUUCUUUACAGUGGAUGUACCUGAGCAGCAAUGAUCUGACCUCCCAUAGGACAUUUUCCCUCUAGGUCUCAAUUUUGUCAUCACUACAAUGAUGGCUUAGGAUUAAAGUUCUAAAAUUGUCAUACCUCUCUUAUAACUAGAAGAAAGAUAUUCUUUUUCAGUAACAAGCAUUUCAGUCAUAUUGCAGUGAAGUUGAUAAGGAAUAUGGUUUUUUUUAUUUAGAUUGCCUAGGUUUGAGUUUGAUUCUGCCAUUUUUUAACUGUGAGGUAUUAGGUAAGCUACUUAACCAAUAAAAAGUUUCAGUUUCCUCAUCUGUAAAGUGUUACAAAUUACAGUACAUAUCUCAUGGGGUUGUUAGGAUUAAAUGGAAAAAGAAUGUAUGUGUGGCAGAGACUGGAACACUGUUCACCAAACCAUUUCCUUUUCUUCCAGAGCAAACAGCUAAACCACAUUUCCCCUCUUCACUUGGAGUUAUCUGUGGCCAUUUGACUGAAUUUUAGCCAAUGAAUGAAAUGUGAGAAGAUAUUCAUAAACCUAUUUGUAGGCUCAGCUCACAAAAAUCUCCCAUUGUGAUCUUCCUUAUUCUUUCCCCUUCUGCAGGUUUCUCAUGGAAGCCAUGUGUUAAAGAUAGUGGGACCACAAAACAGAAGGAAACUUGGUCCCUGAAUCAUGUCUUGGAGGACAGCUUUGUGCCUGUUAAGAACUGUCCUUCUGGAUUUUCUGUGAGUGAGAAAUAAACUUCUAUUUUGUUAAGCCACUGAGAUUCUGGGGCUUAUCUGUUAUGGCAGCUAGCAUUAACUAAAAUAGCAUGUAGGGCACUUAACACGAUACCUACUUAAUAAAUGUUAGGUGUUAUCAAUAUCAUGACUCUAAAUAAAAACCAAAAGCCUAAAAUUCUGAGCUUCAAACACAGCACUGAUAUGGAGAUUCCUUCUGCAGUAUACAAAAUCUGGCUUAAAAAACAAACCAAACAAACAAACAAACAAACUAGAGAAGGUCUAGGAAACAAAGUUGUGUAUAGAGAUAGUAAAAAUCUAAGCUAUUCGUGUAUGUCAUAUGCAGAAAGUCAUUACCAAUAUUUUGUAUUUAUAUUUGCUACUUUUUUUGAAAAACUUAACAGAAUAUAAAGGAAAGAAACCAAAUUAAAAGUUCAAGUUAGUACCAUCAUUGAAAUAAUAUUUAAAAUUUUUCUUCCUUGUGAUAACAUUAGUGUUGUGAUUCAAUGAUUUCUCUCAGUAUUUCACGUUAUGCUCACCCUUUUUCUCUUAAAAAAUGUCUUCUUUCUUGACUCCAACACUUUUUGAUAUUUUAGUUCUUUUAUUUAUUUUUUUAAGAUUUUAUUUUUUUAUUAUUUUUUUAAAUCUUUAUUUACUUUUGAGAGAGAGAGAGACAGAGUGCAAGCGGGGGAGGAACAGAGAGAGAGGCAGACACAGAAUCUGAAGCAGGCUCCAGGCUCUGAGCUGUCAGCACAGAGCCCUAUGUGGGGCUCAAACUCAUGAACCGUGAGAUCAUGACUUGAGCAAAAGUCGGACGCUUAACCGACUGAGCCACCCAGGCGCCCCUAAGAUUUUAUUUUUAAGUCAUCUCUACACCCAACCUGGGGCUCAAACUCACAACCCUGAGAUCAAGUCACAUGCUAUACCAACUGGGUCAGACAGGCAUUCCUUUAGUGCUUUUAUUAAUGCCUCUUCUCAGUUUUCUCUAAUGAGAUUCUUUUUUUUCUUUUUAAUGUUUAUUUAUUUUUGACAGAGAGAGAAAGAGACAUAGAAUGAGUGGGGGAGGGGCAGAGAGAGAGGGAAACACAGAAUCUGAAGCAGCCUCCAGGCUCUGAGCUGUCAGCACAGAGCCCGACGCUGGGCUUGAACUCACGGACUGUGAGAUCAUGACCUGAGCUGAAGUCGGACGUUUAACCAACUGAGCCACCCAGGCGCCCCUGAGAUUCUACCUCUCUUAAAGCCAAGAUCAAAUUUCAUGUAUUCAGUCAAAGCCUUCCAGGAUAUCCUGGUUGGAAGGGCUCCUACCUGCACUGAAUUGUAACAUUUACACAAUCCAAGGCUCUUCCCAUUUGCUGUCUUCUGUGCUAGAGUUUAUUUUCAGUUGGGUUUGUAUAGCUUGUUCCUCCCUAAUCAGAUUGCAAGCUAUUUGAUGACAAGGACUGUGCUUUUUUGAUUUUACAUUGUCCUCAGAAAAUAGUAGAGUCUGUGAAAACAGUUACUGAUACUUGACUCACUGGUUUGAAAGCCCCAAGUUUAUAAGAUUUCCCCUAAUGUUUUAACAUCUCUCUUUCAUGGAGUUUCAUAAGAAUAAAGAACAACAGCUCUCAUACAGUUUUCUUCAUAGAUAAAUAAAAAUAGAGGCAGAGGUAGUAUUUUAUGGUCAGUGGUUUGGGUUAGUAGAAAUUUACAAAGAAUAAAUUAGUGCCUCAUUUUCUAUAUUGAAAUGAGGACAAUUUUAUAUGUAUUACCAGUUAAGCUUAUUUUGCUUUUUUCUGUCCUUCCUCCUAACUAUUCACUUAAAAACUUUUUUAAUGUUUAUUUUUGAGAGAGAGAGAGAGAGAGACAGACAGACAGAGUGUGAGCAGGGGCGGGGGGCAGAGAGAGAGGGAGACACAGAAUCUGAAACAGGCUCCAGGCUCUGAGCUGUCAGCACACAACCCGAAGUGGGGCUCGAACUCACAGACUGCGAGAUCAUGACCUGAGCUGAAGUUGGACACUUAACCGACUGAGCCAACCAGGCGCCCCUAACUAUUCACUUUUUAAAUUUCUUUCUGUUUUGCACAUUCGCUUAAGAUGUUUACCUUAAAAAUAUUAAAAGUUCUAGCUUAAAAGUGUUUCACAGUGUAUAUUCAACAUCAUAAGGACUGUAUAAUGUUUUAACUCUGAAUCUUGCCUCUCAUUUUCAAUUUGAUCGCUAGUUUCAUCCUGUUUUAACUUCUAAAAGUUGGCUAUUUUCUAUAGUCAGUGUUUCCUUGGAGUUACCAAUGUUCUAUUAAUAUCUUUGCUCAUCAUUGAUUCUUUGAAUGCUCCUUUAACUGGAUGGAGAAUUUUAGAUUAACAGAUAUUUCCCUCCACCAUUUUGAGGAUACUGUUCCAUUGUCCUCCAGCAUCUACUGCUUGCGAUAAGAAACCAGCUUUGUUUAUAUAUCAUUCUUUGUAGGUAGUGCAACUUUCAGGCUCAUCCCAAACAUUCAUAGAAACUAGGGAAAGUUACGAAUGAAGGCCCCAUACAAUAUGUCUAAAACAUUUUUAAGUUAAAAACUUAUUAAAUGAAGCUAACAACUUGUUAAAUGAAAUAAAUUCUAUCCUCCUAUCUUGAUAAACAUACCUUUUUAAGGAACUGGAUGACCAAGCCUUGAAUUUAGGACUCUUAGAAUCCUUCAGAGAGUACAGAGAGAUCACAGUCUUGGUCCCACCUCACAGCUCACCCUCCAUGUUUUCCAGUCUUGGCUUCAUCCCACACUGCAAGGGGCUUCACACACUUACUUGUGGACACUCCAAUUCCAAGCCCUACAGCCACUUCCCAAACACCCCAUGGCCCUAAGUGUAUGCAGUCUGUUUUUGGGGGUUGGACAUAGGGAAGAGGCCCAUGAAGGUCCUGAAAGUGGGUUGGAGCUGUAUGGGCAGGAAAUGCUAGGGUCUUGUGCCCCUGGAACAUGGUUUGGAGGGAAAGGGCAAACUUUGGGUUAUGUUUUCUUGACAUUGCAAUAACCUCCUUCAUGGUUUCCUCCCAUCCAACCUGUUCUCUACACUGUAUCAGAGAGAUUUUUUUUUUUAAAUGUAAACCACAGCAUUAUAUUAUCUCCUAAAAAAAUCCUUUAAAGGCUUCCUAUUGCAUUUGAAAUAAAAUCCUUUAAAAGGCUGCAAAGCUCUAAGUGGCACUUCAAUGUGCCAAGCUCUUUGGGAAGAGCUUUCAUCCAAGAUGUUUCUCUUUCUGAAACGCAUUUUCCUACCCACUCCUCGCAUGGCUGACUUCAGUCUAUUGUAUAGCUCCUGGCUUAAAUGCCACCUCCUCUCCAGGUACAGCUUCCCUGUUAUUUGCUAUCACUGCAUCUUGUUUAUUUCCUUCAGAGUACAAAUAACAAAUGUAGUCACCUAUUUGUCUCUCCACACUGUCAUCUACACAAGGGAGAGUGUCACAUAUGAGUCAAUUCUGAGAUGGAAAUUAGCACACGGGAAGUUAUUAGGGAGUACUCUACUCAACCCCUGUUGAGCAAAAGAAAGUAGGAUGGGCCAUCAAUCAGGCAGUGGAUGCUGGCUUCCCAGAAAGGGGCCUGACUUUGGGCAAAGCAAUUCUCUUUAGCUGAAGCCCUUCCUUAAGAGGGCUGACAGCUUUGGUCUGGAUUGGGCGGUAUAGCACCCAAAUGGUCCAUGUCUUGUGCAGAUCUGCUUUCCUUACAUGAGUUCUGGAAGUAGCUUCUUCAGAGCUCUGGCAGGUUUGUUCCCUGGGGGAAACUUGUAAAAGGAGGGUUAGUAAGGGGAACCACACGCUUUGCUGUCGCAGCUGGUAUUAGGCUGCAACCAAUACUCACCCUUUCUCUCUUCUGUGGUUCAUAGUGGAUGCUCUUCACUCUUGAUUAGCACCUCUGAAGGCCUAGGUGACUCACCUAGUGGAGUGACAGAUUCUUAAAACUGAUGAGUUCCAGUUAACUGUUUAUCAUGUCCUCCUCAGGCUGCACCUGCUACAUCUGUCCGUUUGCCAUCAAAAUUGCACAAGUACUAAAAGAUGUCCUAGUUGAUUACCUGGAUGCCAAACAUAUGCCUACCCGAUUCCACUGUGUAAUAGUAGUUCUACUGCCUCUUGAUAAUGAGAGUCAAUUACCCCCAUGAAGAUCUUUUUCUUGCCUGCUGGUCCUUGCCAUGAAGGGCUCAGAGUACUGGGUGGUGGUAUAGUUUAAAAUUCAUUGAAGACUCUUGUUGUGUUCCCUGGUAGAAAUGUUUUGCCUUUGGGAACUAAGACCUUUAAAACUGUGGUUAUAUUUGUGAGGAUGAAAAGCACAAAUUCCCCAAGUGGGUCACUGGGAUUGAUGGUACACAGGAACACUCCUGCUUCCAUACCUUUGACUCCACUCCCAGUUAUUCUCCUAUGAGGGAUACAGCAUCAAAUAAUGGUGAUUGAUUUAGAGCAUGACUGCACCCUAGAAGGUAGCACUUUAUCCUCACAGGGUGUCAUCUCCAAGCUGGUACUUCAGCCAAGAUUUCUGCCAUGUGAUAGGUCCAAUGGAUUCCAUGGUCAUAUGCCCACUGCUACAUUUCCUUUGCUAUGUAGUGGGUUCCUUGGUCAGAUGCAAUGAUAUAUGGGAUGCCAUAAUGGUGGAUCGAAUAGAGUAUAAUCCCUUGGAUAGUCACGUUGGCUGAGACUCAACAGACAGGUAAGGCAAACCCAUAGAAUAUGUGUCUAUUCAUGUUAAAAUGAAUGACUACCUCAUCCAGGGUGGAAGGAGUCCAACAGGGUCGCCUUUUCACCAAGUGGCUGUUUGCUAUCUUCAAGAGAUAGUGCAGUAUUGAGUCUCAGCAAUAGUUCCUGUUACUGGCAGGUUGAUCAUUUGGCUACGGGAUUAACCUUGGUGAGUGGAAGAUCCUACUGGUGGGCCCAGUUACAGCCUUCCUCCUUAUUACCGUGUUUUCUCUAUUCGUGAAUCUAUUGUGCCAGUACUGGGGUGGCUAAUAGAAAAGCUGGCUGGUGCCAACUGGUUAAGUCAUUCUACUUGGGUGUUUAAUGCCUCUUCAAUGGUAGAUGCUCUCAGAACCUGUGGAGGAAAGGGACAGAAGCAAGACUGGGCAGAAAGAGAAAAUGGGCUUCAGUAAGUACAUCACAACCAGGCCCCAGCCAACCCUGUGGGAAGUUCGGAAGCUGGGAUGAUUCUUUAGAAUUUUCCCUUGUUGAGGUGAGAGAGUCUGGUCUUCACAACCCCUCAUUGACCAGUCAUUUGUUGCAGGCUGCUCCUAAAAGGGGCAUGACCUUGGGUAAGGUAGCAUUUUUUAGUUAAGAAAAUGACAAAAGAGGUUCAUCAGUGCACAGCCUUCCCAGAAGCUGGGAGAGUAAGUCCUUCAGUCUUAAAGGAGACAUAGACUGGCACAGCAUAGACUCCACGAAAGAGACCAUUACCAUUACCUUUUUUUUUUUUAAAGUAUGCUCCACUCCCAGCAUGCAGCUCAGUGCAAGGCUUGAACUCAUGACCCUGAGAUCAAGACCUGAGUUGAGACAAAGAGUCAGAUGCUGAACUGACUGAGCCAUCCAGGCACCCCGAGACUAUUAUUAUUUUUUUCACCGGUAUAUAUUCAAGCUUAAUAUAGUGUUUAGCACACAGUGGAAAUUCAAAAGAUCUUUUUGAAUAAAUAAAUUACUGAAAUGUCCUUCUUUCUUAAUUUGGAGUAAAAAGGUCACAUCUCACCCCACCCUCCAACAUUUUACUAUGAGAAUUUCAAAAUUUAAAGGAGAGUGCAAAAGGGACAUCUGUGUGGCUCAGUUGGUUGAGCAUACAACUCUUGAUUUUGACUCAGGUCAUGAUCUCAGGGUUGUGGGAUCAAGCCCUGUGAGGGGCAUCGGGCAUGCAUAGCAUGGAACCUGCUUAAGAUUCUCUCUCUCUCCCUCUGCCCCUCCCCUGCCAUGCUCUCCCCUCUUUCUCUCUAAAAUAAAUAAAAAUAAAGAAAUAAGGGGCGCCUGGGUGGCGCAGUCGGUUAAGCGUCCGACUUCAGCCAGGUCACGAUCUCGCGGUCCGUGAGUUCGAGCCCCGCGUCAGGCUCUGGGCUGAUGGCUCAGAGCCUGGAGCCUGUUUCCGAUUCUGUGUCUCCCUCUCUCUCUGCCCCUCCUCCGUUCAUGCUCUGUCUCUCUCUGUCCCAAAAAUAAAUAAACGUUGAAAAAAAAAUUAAAAAAAAAAAAAGAAAAUAGAGUACAAAAAACAUUUUCCAGAUAUAACAUUUUGUCAUAUUUGCUCUCUUUUUUCAUGGAUAAGUACAUGUAUAGUAUUUUUUGUUUGUUUUUGUUUUGUUUUGUUUUUGCUAAACCUCAUAACACUCUGUCCUUAAAUACUCUGGUAUGUAUCUCCUAACAAUAAGGACAUUCUCAAUACUACUAUGAUCAUAUCUGAAAAAAUAACAUAAAAUUUUUUUAAAUCACUUAGUAUCUAAUAUUGAGCCAUAUUAAAUUUCUAUGAUUCUCCACCAAAUAUCUUCUAUAGCUUUAAAAAAAAUUUUCAACUAUGAUUCCACCCAAGGUUCAUGCAUUACAUUUGAAUGUCAUUUUUCUUUACUAUCUUUUAAACUGGGAACAGUCUCUCUCCCCUUUUCCCCCCAGAGACUUAACUUUUUGAAGAGACCAAGGCUAGGAGUGUUCUUGUCCCCCAUUCUGGAUUUGUCUCUUUCCUCAUAGUGUCAUUUUGUUUGUUCCAGGUAACAUCACCUUCAAUAUUCUAAACCAAUGAGAAUAUUCUUAUGAUCCUCCUCAGCACCCUGGUGUCAUUCCAAGAAGUCACCGAGAUACAUUCUAAUAUCCAGAGGACCAAUCCUGCUUCACAGUCAAUCGCAGCCAAAAUUCUAGCUCCCUAGAAGAUGAAAGACCUCAUAAUUCCUACCAGAAGCUGGUGGCUUCCUAAACAAACCAUGUUGCUCCUGGUGGUGUUGCCAUUGCUAACAAUAAAAGUGUAUUUUAUGCAGAAGGUGAUCUUACGGAGGAGUGACAUAGACACUCACGAGAGGUGCUGUGCUUGGAAGGGUCUCAUGCUGGUCUAGGGAGCAGAGUGGGUUUAUCUCUUUGUGCCAUCUGUUCAGCGUAGCAUCUGCCUGAAUGCAGGGGAAGAAAUCAAUCAGCAGAGUACUUUACUACUUUACUU